UAAAAGAUAUUUAUGUAACUGACUUAUUUCUAUUUAAGAAUUGUUUUGUAUUACCCAAGAGACUAUGAAUAUCAGGGCAGGCAAAAAUCUCACUUCCUCAAGGAAGGUCUGUGAGAGAUGUCAAGAUAGCUGUGCAAGGGACUGUCAUUCUUCACACAGGUGGCUCACCAAGGUAGAAAUAACCAUUAAUAGCAAUUUCCCCUGCAGCCAGGCACAAACCUAUAUACAGAGCCUGAGGGAGUGACACGUUUUACUACUGCUGAAGAGGGAAAUUCAACUCCUGGGCAGAUUCCAGUUUUAGAACGGAGAGAGUCACUCUGAGCGGAGGCAGGGCAUUUUCUGGCCUUUGUUUUGUUUUGUUUUUAAAUACCCUCCAGCCUUCUAACAAUCUUCGCAUGCAUGCCCCAUCGCAGGGAAAUCAGGGCACAGUGGGAAGCCUCAGCGGACCUCCAGGUUGCUAGGCAACAUGCUCCCCUUCCCCAGCGCAGCUAGAGGAGAGCCAGGGUAGGCGCCAUGCCUCUACCCACCCCAGGUGCCAGAGCUCAUUAGCCCGCUCAGAGGUCCCUCUCAAAAUGUCCAGGAAAAGGAACUGAGAUUUCUUCUCAACCUUGACAGUGUGGGACCCAAAAGCCAUCAAAGCCUUCUUCUGUACAGUAUGCUUUCUUUUCCUUGAUAAGAAGGUAUCUCUCAAUGUAUCCUUGCCUGUCUUAGAACUCUGUAGACCAGGCUGGCUUCGAACUCACAGAGAUCCGCUUGCCUCUACUUUCCAAGUGUCGGGGUUAAAGGUGUGUGCUACUACAUCUGGCUUUUGCAGGCAUAAGUACGCACUGAAAUUAAGCCGUCUACAGGAUUUUCGAGCAACUACUCUGAGGCCAGGAAAGGACCACCUUAUCCUGUCCCAGUGAUAGAGGACAUCAGCCAUGACACAGAGACAGCAGGAGAAUCUGCCUGCUGCAGAAGGCAGGAGGCCAUCGGCUUACAAAGAUUACCCUCAGAUGUCAGACUUAACAUCUUCUUCAGCUCUGAAGAAGUGAUUCUGGACCCUAAAGAAGGGUGAUCAGGAAGUGGACUUUCUGGAGGUCAGAGUGGACUUUGUCUCCAUCCAUCCCUGACUCGAAUGGAUCCUCACCACCUUCCACUCUGAGAACCGGGUCCCUCCAGCCCCUACUCCCGGUGCUGAGUCAAGGUCCACUUCACAGCUGGCCUUAUCAUUCCCUAUGAUCCCCGCUGGAAUCGGCUAGUUGGAUCUCCUGGGACUGCACUGGCGUGUUACCAUGUGCUGAGUGUGAUUGUGGUUGGGUGCUGUGGUGCCAGGCCAUGUGUGACUCAGAAUCACUGUGUAAUUGUGUGAAGCUGGGUCUGAUUACGCCCAGGAGAAAUGGUUGAUUGUACAUGGUUCCAUCUCACUGUGUGAUUUGUGAGAUUGUAUGCUACAGCCCGUGAAUACUUGUCUGUGGUUACGUGUGUUCCAAGUGGCUGUGUGGCUGAGUACAGUAUGUGAUGGAUGUGUCUAUAAGUAGCCGUGUGUAGGUGGGUGGGGCUUCAUGCCAUCCCAAGGCCCAGACCCGAAGAGAUCACUGUCUGCAGUCUGUAUACUGUGGUAGGGAAGAGGAGGUAAAGAGCGUGUGUGUGUGGUGGGGGGGGGAUGCUCUUCCCCUGGGUCACUGACCAUUUUUAGAGUGUUUUCUCGGAAGUCAGACUGUGCUUCGGAGGAAUGCCAGCCCAUCUGAGCUCUCACAGCAACUGGCCCCUGGGCUCACAAUGUCUCAUUAUAGCCCUCAUCCGGCCGGGCCCAGGCUGCUUUCCAGCCCAGCAGAGACACACAGCCCUUAUCUCUCAGUCUGGCCACCUCUCUCCAUUCUUCCCAUACCUAUUCUGGCUGCAGAAGAAACAUAGGCACCUCGUUUCCCCACUUCCCAACCCUGAAGACAGACUUUCCAAGAGCUGACCGCUAGCUCUUUCAGGGAUGACAAAAGCCUUCCCCGCAAUGGAUUUGCGAUGCUUCCCAUGUUUGCACGAAAAAGAAGAAAGAGGAAGAGAAUGGAGAUGAGGAGGAGGAGAAGAAAGAGGAAGAAGGACCCACUUUUAACUUUGUCCUCAGUUAAGGAUGCCGGACAACCCACCCAACUUUCUCAGGCCUCAGUUUCCUACUCUGUUAAAGAAAUGAAGGAGAAUCACAAGUCUCAACGUCAGGACUAGAAAGAACUAAUAUCCAAAGAGAAUGACAGGCAAGCCCCACAUGGCCUGUAACUGCUGGGCUUAGUGGCGCCAGAUAGAUACACUGUCUUUGGCUUUUGACCUGUGGAAUCGGUCUGCAUCAAUGACCCUCAUGUGCUCCAAAGCAGAACCUUGGGGAGCCCAAAAAUCCCUUCAAGAUGCAGCCGCUUCUCUGCACCGAUGCUUGAAGGCAACCAGUAAGAACAGCAGAGGUCGCAGUCUCCAGCAGGCCUGGAUUCAAUUCCUGCUCUGCUAGUGACAGCCUGGGACUGCAACCAAGGAUCCCGCUGAUGGAGCUGCUGUUACUUCCCUUGCAGCCUGACAGAUCAAUAGCCUGAUCAGUGUUGCCCAAGGGGGCUCGGAAAGUGCAAUCAGGUAGCUUGCAGGGUGCUACAGAGAAGGAAGAAGUCAACACACACUCCAGGGGAUUCCAGAAAAAAAAAAAAAAAAAGGAAACAAUGUUUUGAGAAUCUUGAGGACUGGGUGACUCUAAAAGUCUCCCCAGGCCUUGGCUGUGUGGCUAUUGGGGAAAAUUCUCGCAGGCGUCUAACAAAGCAUGUGUGGCCGGUGGUGGCUGCCGGUGACGUUCAAUGACCUAAAGUAAAUAAACCAGUAAUCAGAGGGUGCUCUUGCUUGGCUGCUGCGGGCUUGCUUGCCCACGAGUCAUAAUAAUUUGUUGGGAUAAUACAUCGGCCGUUAGCCCUCAAAGUCCUGUUACUAAGAGGUUAGGAGACAGAUGAUCUUCCCAAAAAGAAAAACCACUACAGGAUGUUCCAGAUUGGAGCCACGGUAGCAGCCCAAACAGCAUGGACUUGUGUUGUUGAUAAACUCUUAUAAAAGAGUUUGGGCAUGGAGUAACUGGGAAGUAGCCCAACUCUACACAUCACAGGCUUGCCAGUAGAAUAUUAUAAACUCAGCUUGGCGGUAGGAUGAUAUAAUACCUUCAUUAUUUCAAAGGUUCUUAAAUUAACCAAGGUGCAUCUUUCGGAGGUCCAUUGUUUUGCGUGUAUUUAUGACCAUCUCGAGGCCACAUUUGGUUUCAGGAGUGACUAAGUCUACCAAGCUGUAACCACCCUUGCUUGGCCCUGGGCCUGUUUGUGAUAAUUCAGUGACUUCACACAGCCAUUCCCAGCCACCUCCGUUAUGGCUUCGUUACUGGAGCAACAGGAACCAGUCAACCAACAGAAUCCAGGUUAGAGCAGAACAGAAGGAAGUCGGCAAACAGGACUCUUGCCGGGGCAGGCAGUCACGUGACGCCAGCCUACCACACUUUGCGCAUGCGGUUUUCCUGGGAAGACACAGUCAUUCUUCUGCUUUCCGCCUCACCGAAGGAAGCCUUUUAGGUCGCCCCUAAGUGGUCUCAGUCACUGACUAGAGGAAAGGAGCUGUCCCCUUUUACGCUGGCCUCUCUCUUGAAUUGGCACCCCAGCAGCACGAUGCCAGCCUUGGACUUGCUGAGUUCUCCCAGCCUCCGCACCACCCCACUGUCUGCCACGGUUGCUCUGCUAGCUUUCUGGCUAGGUCCCUGGCUGCAGAGACCUCAUGUGCCGUUUCCAUCUUGUAGUUGACACAGAACACCCACAGUCUUCUCUCUUCUCGCAGGGGUGGGGCUCAGAGCUGGGGAGAGAGACCAGAGUCUAAGUCACCCGACAGUAAGUCAGGAGACCGGCUCAUGUCACCUCGCCUUAGGUCCCAGUCUUGGCUGUUUGAGAGCGCCAAGCACCUUGUGAUGUGUGACACUGGACAGUCCGAUGUUGCAAUGCUUCCUAGGCAAGGGUCAGAGUUUCCAUAGACUGACCCUGGUGACCUUCAGUCACUGUGUGAGACACGGAGGAGGGGGCAAGGCUGUGGGAACGCUAUCCUCCUACCUUCUUCCCAGGGUAGGGGCAGGAGGGCACAUGCCAAGCAGGCUUAGAAUUUAUCUGGGCCGGGGACUGGACAGAGUGUUUCACCUGCUGUGCGGUUUCUUACUUCCCUUUUGGGGCCGUCUGGGAGGAAUGCUUGACAUUAGUUAUAGUGGUUAGGAGGCUGUGUGGGGAACACUCAACAAACGCCAGCAGCCAUCGCCAGCCCAGCCAUGGGAUGGUCAUUCUUACCCCUCCAUCCUCAUCUGGAUCUGCCAAGUGGUCUACAUGUGUGCAGAAGGCUGGUGCUACUGCAGGGGCAUUAUAACCCUGGUGGUGACAGGACGGUGCCAUGCAUGAGGCGCUUCUGGUAACAGAGACAUUUCCCAAGGUUCCCGAUCCCUAGUUUUCAGAAGCAGGCCUGGAAGGAUGAAGAAGCUGCUUUGUGGCUUGCUAUGCUUGGCCAAACACAUGUGCAUCCAAGCGGCUGGCCAAGGCUGGAAUUCCCCGCGAGCAGCCUGCCCAGGCUCACUCCUCGG
Molecule: non-coding RNA, 4600 nt
Organism: Myodes glareolus (Bank vole)
Lineage: Eukaryota; Metazoa; Chordata; Mammalia; Rodentia; Cricetidae
Source: RefSeq, a predicted model, not a curated record